AGACUACCUGCUGAACUUAAGCAUAUCAGUAAGCAGAGGAAAAGAAAACAACUGUGAUUCCCUUAGUAACUGCGAGUGAAGCGGGAUAAGCCCAUCGUUUAAUCUUCCCGGACUGUGGACGGGACGACAUGUAACGGUAUGGAUAGGUUCUCUAUCAACUCUGGCUGGUCAAAGUCCUCCGGAUUGAGGUGCCAAAGAGGGUGACAGCCCCGUGUGUGACUGGAAAGAGUUGAGUAUGUGGCCGAUUCCGAGAGUCGGGUUGUUUGGGACUGCAACCUAAAGCAGGUGGUAAACUCCACCCAAGGCUAAAUAUUGACACGAAACCGAAAGCGAAUAAGUACUGUGAAGGAAAGUUGAAAAGAACUCUGAAAAGAGAGUUAAAAGUACGUGAAACCGCUAACGGGGAAGCGGAAGGCAGUGUCGAGAUUGGGUGAGUGAGUUGUCUCAAGUUGGUUUUUAAUUAAUUUGGGGCGACUAGCUUUGCUCGAUGCGUCAGGACUAUUGGUGUGCGGUGGCUCAAUUGUCGGCAUGGCUUCCACGACACUCAUGCGCAUGAACUUGUGUGUGGGCUCGUGGUUGCGGCAGGCAAUCCGCCUCGUGCGCUGAUAUGGAUGUGGUGAGGCGUUGGUGAUGUAGUGUCGGUUGGUGUUGUGUGGUGCUCCGCGUAGUCACAGCGUGGCUACGUGUGGAGAAGUCAUGUGAUAGUUCAACAACCAGUGCCAGGGCCUGACGUGAUACCUAACCUUCCGACCCGUCUUGAAACACGGACCAAGGAGGCAGAAUCUAGAGCGAGUUGGAGGGUGGAAAACCCGACGGCGUAGUGAAAGCGAGAGAUGAGACCUCAUGGCCUCGGCUGUGGGGGCAUCAUCGGCCAGUCAUCUUGAGGUGAUUGAGUUUGAGCUGUAGAUGCUGGACCCGAAAGAUGGUGAACUAUGCGUGAGCAGGGCGAAGCCAGAGGAAACUCUGGUGGAGGCUCGUANCGAUUCUGACGUGCAAAUCGAUCGUUUGACUUGCGUAUAGGGGCGAUAGACUAAUCGAACCAUCUAGUAGCUGGUUCCCUUCGAAAUAUCCCU
Molecule: ribosomal RNA, 1073 nt
Filed under: Kudoa thyrsites
Lineage: Eukaryota; Metazoa; Cnidaria; Myxozoa; Multivalvulida; Kudoidae
Description: partial large subunit ribosomal RNA
Rfam family: Eukaryotic large subunit ribosomal RNA
Source: RNAcentral